This is a long non-coding RNA of Limulus polyphemus (Atlantic horseshoe crab), 277 nucleotides long. RefSeq lists it as uncharacterized. The record is from RefSeq and is a predicted model, not a curated record. The transcript is spliced from 4 exons. NCBI's taxonomy places the organism in Eukaryota, Metazoa, Arthropoda, Merostomata, Xiphosura, Limulidae.
ACGUUUGUUAUUAGCUGUGAACAUGGCUGCUUCCUAUAAAUUUUUUUCUAAUAUUAGAAGUUAUGCAUUGUCAUCAGUGCGUUCAUAUUAUUCAGUGAAAGCGAAUCACUCAAGUUUAACCAGUGGCUACCAGUGCCUUAAUUCUCUGAUUUAUAAGGCAAGGUUUCAAACUCUGUCUCCUCAUAACAAACAUACUAAAGAUUUCUGUCUGGGAGAUAGAAUUGAAGAAGAUAAAGAUGGUGAAGAAAGAAUUGCAAAGGAAAUAUUUACAAAAGUU